CAGUCGCCACGGUAAUACAGAGGGUGCAAGCGUUAAUCGGAAUUACUGGGCGUAAAGCGCGCGUAGGUGGCUUGUUAAGUUGGAUGUGAAAUCCCCGGGCUCAACCUGGGAACUGCAUUCAAAAUUGACUGACUAGAGUAUGGUAGAGGGUGGUGGAAUUUCCUGUGUAGCGGUGAAAUGCGUAGAUAUAGGAAGGAACACCAGUGGCGAAGGCGACCACCUGGACUAAUACUGACACUGAGGUGCGAAAGCGUGGGGAGCAAACAGGAUUAGAGACCCCCGUAGUCCCUGUCUCUUAUAC
RNAcentral lists this ribosomal RNA (301 nucleotides) under uncultured bacterium. RNAcentral's name for it is "partial 16S ribosomal RNA". It matches the Rfam family "Bacterial small subunit ribosomal RNA", at positions 509 to 807 of the family's 1533-position model. The record is from RNAcentral.